This 460-nucleotide ribosomal RNA is filed under the name uncultured bacterium. RNAcentral describes it as "bacterial SSU rRNA". It matches the Rfam family "Bacterial small subunit ribosomal RNA", at positions 338 to 796 of the family's 1533-position model. The record is from RNAcentral.
CCUACGGGUGGCAGCAGUAGGGAAUAUUGGACAAUGGGUGCGAGCCUGAUCCAGCCAUGCCGCGUGCAGGAAGAAGGCUUUCUGAGUUGUAAACUGCUUUUGCCAGGGGAUAAAAAGCCCGUGCGCGGGAAAUUGAAGGUACCUGGUGAAUAAGCCACGGCUAACUACGUGCCAGCAGCCGCGGUAAUACGUAGGUGGCAAGCGUUGUCCGGAUUUAUUGGGUUUAAAGGGUGCGUAGGCGGUUUUAUAAGUCAGUGGUGAAAUCCGGCAGCUUAACUGUCGAUGUGCCAUUGAUACUGUAGAACUUGAGUACUGAUGAGGUAGGCGGAAUUGACGGUGUAGCGGUGAAAUGCUUAGAUAUCGUCAAGAACACCGAUAGCGAAGGCAGCUUACUAAGGAGUAACUGACGCUGAUGCACGAAAGUGUGGGGAUCAAACAGGAUUAGAUACCCUAGUAGUCC